CAGCAAGCCACUUUUGCGGUUCAAUUUUUGCUUUUAGAAAUCCUGUCAAUGUCUAUUUUAAAGCAUAUGUUUAGCGUUCAUUCAUGAUUGCUUUGGAAUCAAUCGGCGCACGUUAAUUGAACAUGGCGAAAUCUUGAAUUGAAUCAACUAUUCCCUUAUUUCCGGUGCAAUUGAAGGGCUGCAUGGACGUUCUCGAAGAAUCCAGAUUUGGCGUGAGAAACGAAUUUGAACAAGAAAUUGCGUGCAAGAAUUGUUGGGUCGGAGGCGUGACGAAUUAAAGAAAUUGAAUCGAGCUGUUGAUUUCAAUUCGUGGCUAUUUGAUGUUGGUGAGAGCAAACUGGUGAUAUGUGAAUUAAAGACAAGGCGAUCGAGAGAUUCAAGUACAAGAAGUUCUGUGGCAAAGCAAUGAAGCAUGAGGUGGCAUACAUUUCGAUCCAUUCAUGUUGCAUUUCGUAAAA
This 458-nucleotide small RNA is filed under the name Vigna angularis var. angularis. Its description in RNAcentral is "Non-protein coding transcript". The record is from RNAcentral. Lineage: Eukaryota; Viridiplantae; Streptophyta; Magnoliopsida; Fabales; Fabaceae.